AUCCAGCCGACGAGUCCCAAAUAGGACAAAACGUGCGUUCUGAAU
Schistosoma margrebowiei is the source of this 45-nucleotide non-coding RNA. The record is from Rfam. Lineage: Eukaryota; Metazoa; Platyhelminthes; Trematoda; Strigeidida; Schistosomatidae.